This 751-nucleotide long non-coding RNA is filed under the name Homo sapiens (human). RNAcentral describes it as "novel transcript". The record is from RNAcentral. Lineage: Eukaryota; Metazoa; Chordata; Mammalia; Primates; Hominidae.
AGAGGCUCUAUUCAGUCAAGGGGUGAUGAACUCUCUUUGGGUCUGGAGACAGGCUGGAACUGGGAUGAGAUAUGGAGACCCUGCCAUUUACGACAACGUGGAUGUAUCUGCAGGACAUUAAGACAAGUGCAAUAAGCAAGACACGGAAAGAAAAUAUAGCAUGGUCUCUCUUAUAUGUGGAAUUUUAAAAAUUAACUCUGAAUACUUUGGAUUAAACUGAUGCAGCAGUCAUCCAAGAGAUGUCCACAUAUGUACUCCUGUUAAUGUUAGUUCCUUUCAUCCAAGCCAUCAGAGGUUCUCCCUGGAUCUCAUUUUUGGGAUUAAAUGAAGCUGUAAGCAUCUUUGAAGUACAAAUGAUACUUGGAAAGUAAAUGAAACUGGGAAUACUUGCAAGUAAAAUAUGGGAAGUCAAAGAGAUUAAAGGAUGAGAACCAGAAAUUGCUUAUGGCCAGUGUCCUGAGUAAGCCUCAGAAUCGCAUCCUAGAAGCAUCAAGUUCUUGUGUUACCCUAUGGAUCUAAAAAACGACUUCCUUAGUUUGAUGUAGUCUGCAGACAUCUCAUCAUCACAAAAACUUGAAAGCACUUACAGCACUAAGAAACUACCUUUGCAGAUUGUAAAAAAAGAUAGAAUCCUACUUAGUGUUUUGAUCACACCUGCCUAUUUCCCCAAGGUUUUACUGCAGGGUUAAAGAAUGAAUAAGCAUCUAGUUAUAUUUAAUAAACUCCAUGCCUUAUGGCUGAUUCUAAAGGC